CACCGUUGCCCCAAUGCCCGAGCCUCGUGUCGGGCACCGAGCAGGGCGAAUGUUGGCUUCCCGGGAGCAAGGUCUCACGGUUGGUUGAAAAUUGAGCCUGUGGUGGAGGACGCCGCGAUGGACGGUGGUUGAUUUAAAUCUCGAGACCGUUGUGCGCGUCACCCCUACCGGAUUUGGGACUCUGUGACCCAUGUGAGCGGCCGGUCGCCAAAGAAGGGA
Molecule: ribosomal RNA, 219 nt
Filed under: Maackia amurensis
Lineage: Eukaryota; Viridiplantae; Streptophyta; Magnoliopsida; Fabales; Fabaceae
Source: RNAcentral